RNAcentral lists this ribosomal RNA (253 nucleotides) under uncultured bacterium. RNAcentral describes it as "partial 16S ribosomal RNA". It matches the Rfam family "Bacterial small subunit ribosomal RNA", at positions 524 to 776 of the family's 1533-position model. The record is from RNAcentral.
UACGUAGGAGGCAAGCGUUGUCCGGAUUUACUGGGCGUAAAGAGCGUGUAGGCGGUUGAGCAAGUCUGCUGUGAAAUCGCCAGGCUCAACUUGGCGGGGUCAGUGGAAACUGCUUAACUUGAGGACGGUAGAGGGGGGUGGAAUUCCCGGUGUAGUGGUGAAAUGCGUAGAGAUCGGGAGGAACACCAGCGGCGAAGGCGGCCCCCUGGGCCGCUCCUGACGCUGAGACGCGAAGGCCAGGGUAGCGAACGGG